GAAAAGAGAAUUACGAGAGGAAGAAAAAUACAGGUAAUAACCAGCUCGGAAUCCGCACCUUAAUUAUGCAAAACAAAAGAGAAUUAGCAAAGGGAUCGAUGAAAAAAGCGAAAGUUUUUAAUUCCAACUUUUUUUUUUAGAAAACUCCACCAUUAAGUUAAACAUACCAAAUCGGGUCAAAGACUAACAAAUUCCACCCAGAGCCGCACAGUUGCCGGCAAUCUCCACCACUGAGUAAAUGCCAGGCCCAGGUCCCCACCUCAUGUAUGCUAUGAGCUCGGGCCUAGCUCUGACCCAUCUCACCAGGGGACGUUUCUCCCCUCACCACACCCUUACCUAUACUCUCAACGCCUUCUUCGGCCCUGACAUAGGCUCCUUCUCUGAGUGGCUAACCUCUGUUCUCUUCCUUGAUUCUUCUGUUCUCGCUUUUUUAGCUGAUUCAAUCCAUCACCCUGUUUAUUAUGUCUUGAUUCUGGGGCUUCCUUUAUGCCUUUUCUACUCCUGGGCAUCAGGUAUUUUGGUGAAAAGAAGCCUUCUUGAUUCUGUUUCAGGGGUGCCACUUUCAAGGAAGCAAUGCUUAUUGUUGAUAUCAGCUGGUUCUUUUUCCCACUUUUUCCUUGACCAUUUAUUUGAGGUGAAUUUUAGAGAUUCCUUUUUUCAUGACAUGUGGCUAAUUGUAUCUGAUUUGUUUAUUCCCCGGUAAUUAGCAUAAAUCAUGAACUUAUUAGUCAAAAUGCUAUACUGACUGCAUAAUUAUGAUUCGAUGGCUCAUUGGAGAGGAGGGUGUAAAAGUUGUCUUGGUAUGGCACAGCAGUGUACUGGGUGCUAAGGAAAUGUAUGUGUGGAUUGGCAUGCGCCAGCAUAUCCAAUUUAUCAUUAAGAUCUCAUUGAGAAUUUUAAAGUUUGUUUGUUGCUUAUUCAUGAUUUGUGCUUAAAUGCAGAUUCCUGAAAAUGGACAUUAGGGCCGUUGUUGGGUUAGGGAACAGUUUGGACUUUGUAAGAAGGCAAAUAAUAUGAAUUAUCCUAUGAGAGGGGGAGUUACAAUACUUGUUUUCAUGGUUGUUCCACCUUGAAAUAAUUAGAUAUGGUUAAUUUAUUCAAUCAUUAGGUAGCAAUUAAUGCUUUUUUAAGCAUGAUUUAAUUUGUUUUUUUGGUAGCUUCCUUGAGAUGAGUUACUGUAGUUUUUUUGCUCCCAUCCUUUGUCAUUGCACCUAUAUCACACAGUGCUACAUGAUAUGAUACAAAAGAAUUGAAUUAUUGUCUUGCCACCUUGCUGGAUUACCAUGUUAGGGAUCAUCUGGUUUGGUCAUGUUAGCAGUAUUAUGAUUUAAAUAGUGUUAGAGGCCCUUUUAUAUGAUUACACCGAGUGACAUGAACAUUCCUUGUUAAGGCAUUCUUUUCUCUUGAAUAUCAGGUAUCUUAUCUGGGGUGCAUAUUUUGAAAAAUGGUGAAGUACAAGAAGAAAAUGCUAGUUAUUAGGGAAAAUGGUAAGUCAUCCAUGUAUACUUGGAUAUUGAGCACUGGCUGGUGGAUAAACCGUGCACCUGUUAACCCAGAUGCUGUGGUUGUAGUUGGAUUCCUGUGCACUUGUUUAAUUGGUGGCUUCAUUUACAUCAACAGAGUGGGGUUGCCAAAAUCUACCAGAAAACAAUCAUACCAAUCAAUGAAACUUAUUAUGAUCAUAGCAAGCCUGUAUUCUUUCUGGUGUGCAAGCCAAACAUACUGGGCUAAUCCUCGACGGCCAGCAGUUGGCGAAGAAGCUGAUCUUGGAGUCCUUGUAUUCUUAGCUACCUACUUUCUUCUUCCCCAUGGUCUCUGUAUAUUGUCCAUGAACUCCGAGGAUCUCCACACCGAUCAUAUCCCUCUUUAAUGGAGAAAUUCAGCAAUCUUAUGCUAAGAAAAAAAAGAAUAGUGUCUGCCGAAAAGGAAAAAGAAAAGGAAGAGGCUGCUCUGUAUUUAGAAUUACUUGUGUUUGUGUCCUAGGGUUGGAGGUGAAGUUUUUAGUGAAAAGGAUGAAAGGAACUUACUGAAGUUUUUGGGGAAUCCCUAUAGUAUCUGCUAGAAAGUACUGACUGAAGUUUGGAGAGCAUUCCAUCUUAACAUGGUAAAAAUGUGAUUUUUAGUUCAUAAAAUCAAUCUAUCCAUCCAUUUGCUAAAAGAA
This is an RNA transcript of Gossypium raimondii (Peruvian cotton), 2161 nucleotides long. RefSeq lists it as uncharacterized. Lineage: Eukaryota; Viridiplantae; Streptophyta; Magnoliopsida; Malvales; Malvaceae. The record is from RefSeq and is a predicted model, not a curated record. The transcript is spliced from 5 exons.